AGAGCCAAUCGAAACCCGGGGCAGGUCCCUCCAGAAGCAAGCGCGCGGGCGCGCGGCCCCGAGGAAACGGCGUGAUGGACGCGGUCCUUCUGGGCGCCCGGGCUCAGCUCCACCCGCAGCCGCCCGAGGGGUGGCCGCCCGUGAGCUCCGAGGAGGAGCUCUACGAGAGCCUGGAUUACUACUACCUGCGCGACUUCCCGGCCUGCGGGGCCGGGCGCAGCAAGGGUCGGACGCGGCGCGAGCGGGAACUGCGCACCAACUGGCCAGUGCCCGGCGGCCACGAGCGCAAGAUCGCGCAGAAGCUCCUCAACGGCCAGCGCAAGCGGCGCCAGCGCCAGCUGCAGCCCCGGGCGCGCACUCGGCUCGUCUGAGCGCAGUUUUCUGCAGGAUACCCGAAGGCCCUGAUAAAAGUAUUAUCUCUGACUCCAGCUGUAACUGGUCGAAAGGGGGAGAAUCCAUGUUGGUCAACAUAGCUUCUUUUCGACAUCGCUUAAGUUUACCGCUUCAGUAUCUUUUCCUUACUGAUUGUUACUAACAUCCAAGUGUCCAACUGCUACGGUAACUCGUUUCAAGACCGCAAAUGAACAAAUAAGUUCAUCUUAUGGGUAAAGAAGAUGAAUGGGGGAAACAAAGAUAGGAAUCUGUACAAGAUUUUAUAGAUGUGGUGUGCAAGUUUAAUAUUUGCCAGAAUAGGAAUAUUUUCCGUUGUAAUAGUGUAUAUCGAACAUUUGCUAGGUUCUCUGCAAUGUUGAUCUCACAACAAGCCUUUCAGGUGGGCGCUGCUAUCUCCCAUUUUGUAGAGGGGAUUCUGAGGCAAAGCAGUUUCAAGUCACUUUUCAGAGGUCAUACAGCUGGUUACAAAGACGACCAGGUAUAGCAGAUACUUGAAAGCAUUCCCUCCUUCCGGCAUCACAGUUUUCCUCUAUCAUAUGCAAUAUUCUGUUCAGAACCACCCACAAACUCCACGUCCAAAGACAAGGGUUGAGCUGUGGCCUAAAGAUUAUACCCACAAUGUCAGUGUCAUGGU
Molecule: RNA transcript, 1027 nt
Organism: Zalophus californianus (California sea lion)
Lineage: Eukaryota; Metazoa; Chordata; Mammalia; Carnivora; Otariidae
Gene: NUPR2
Gene name: nuclear protein 2, transcriptional regulator
Exons: 3
Source: RefSeq, a predicted model, not a curated record